UAUAAAGGUGGACUUAAUGCCAUAGGCAUU
RNAcentral lists this small RNA (30 nucleotides) under Bombyx mori (domestic silkworm). RNAcentral's name for it is "ovarian small RNA-23250". Lineage: Eukaryota; Metazoa; Arthropoda; Insecta; Lepidoptera; Bombycidae. The record is from RNAcentral.